This 254-nucleotide ribosomal RNA is filed under the name uncultured bacterium. RNAcentral describes it as "partial 16S ribosomal RNA". It matches the Rfam family "Bacterial small subunit ribosomal RNA", at positions 524 to 776 of the family's 1533-position model. The record is from RNAcentral.
UACGUAGGGUGCGAGCGUUGUCCGGAAUUAUUGGGCGUAAAGAGCUCGUAGGCGGUCUGUCGCGUCGAUCGUGAAAACUUGGGGCUUAACCCUGAGCUUGCGGUCGAUACGGGCAUGACUGGAGUUCGGCAGGGGAGACUGGAAUUCCUGGUGUAGCGGUGAAAUGCGCAGAUAUCAGGAGGAACACCGGUGGCGAAGGCGGGUCUCUGGGCCGAUACUGACGCUGAGGAGCGAAAGCGUGGGUAGCGAACAGG